This 500-nucleotide ribosomal RNA is filed under the name Diplodia mutila. Its description in RNAcentral is "eukaryotic LSU rRNA". The stretch from base 139 to 292 matches the Rfam family "5.8S ribosomal RNA". Lineage: Eukaryota; Fungi; Ascomycota; Dothideomycetes; Botryosphaeriales; Botryosphaeriaceae. The record is from RNAcentral.
GUGAACAUACCUCUGUUGCUUUGGCGGCUCUUGCCGCGUGGAGGCCCUCAAAAGCCCCCCCGCGCGCGCUUCCGCCAGAGGACCAUCAAACUCCAGUCAGUGAACGUCGACGUCUGAAAAAACAAGUUAAUAAACUAAAACUUUCAACAACGGAUCUCUUGGUUCUGGCAUCGAUGAAGAACGCAGCGAAAUGCGAUAAGUAAUGUGAAUUGCAGAAUUCAGUGAAUCAUCGAAUCUUUGAACGCACAUUGCGCCCCUUGGCAUUCCGAGGGGCAUGCCUGUUCGAGCGUCAUUACAACCCUCAAGCUCUGCUUGGUAUUGGGCGCCGUCCUCUCUGCGGACGCGCCUCAAAGACCUCGGCGGCGGCUGUUCAGCCCUCAAGCGUAGUAGAAUACACCUCGCUUUGGAGCGGUUGGCGUCGCCCGCCGGACGAACCUUCUGAACUUUUCUCAAGGUUGACCUCGGAUCAGGUAGGGAUACCCGCUGAACUUAAGCAUAUC